AUUUGAUGACGGUGUGGAGGGGAGCAAGAGGUAUCAGUCAGGUUUGUGCAGAAUUUGAGACAUCCAGAAUUACCAUAGGCCCAUUAGAAUCAACAAUCUUUGCCAAACUUGAUUCGGACUGCAAAAUUUACGAAGAUGUUUUCAUACUGAAGAAGAGACCUUGGACAAAUACUGAAACCCUCUUGGUGCCCACUACACAGGCAGGGGUGUCCAGACCUGCUCUAGGAAAGCCAGUGUUCUGUGGGGUUCAGCUCUAACACACCUGCCUGGAACUUCAGACUAAUGAAAUUGAAGUAUCCAAAUGAAGACCCUAGCAGUAUGGAGUAUAUGGUGAGUUCAAGGUUAAUAAAUUAUUUGUUAAAGUUAAUACACAAUAAUUUGAGUUCUCCAUGCUUUUAAAUACUUCUAGGAUACAGACGUUGCCAGCAGUCAGGAGGUGAUCCAGAAGACUCGUGGGAAUCUAUUU
Long non-coding RNA from Carassius auratus (goldfish), 466 nucleotides. RefSeq lists it as uncharacterized. The transcript has 4 exons. Lineage: Eukaryota; Metazoa; Chordata; Actinopteri; Cypriniformes; Cyprinidae. The record is from RefSeq and is a predicted model, not a curated record.